CAGUGCAAAUGAUGAGUUUGUUAUCCCUGUCUGAACAUAAUGUGUGGAAGCAAUGGUAUCUGAGCUGCUG
This is a small nucleolar RNA of Betta splendens (Siamese fighting fish), 70 nucleotides long. Ensembl annotates it as small nucleolar RNA R38. Lineage: Eukaryota; Metazoa; Chordata; Actinopteri; Anabantiformes; Osphronemidae. The record is from Ensembl.